GCCCAGACUCCUACGGGAGGCAGCAGUGGGGAAUAUUGCACAAUGGGGGAAACCCUGAUGCAGCGACGCCGCGUGAGCGAUGAAGUAUUUCGGUAUGUAAAGCUCUAUCAGCAGGGAAGAAGAUGACGGUACCUGACUAAGAAGCCCCGGCUAACUACGUGCCAGCAGCCGCGGUAAUACGUAUGGGGCAAGCGUUAUCCGGAUUUACUGGGUGUAAAGGGAGCGUAGGCGGCCUGGCAAGCCUGAUGUGAAAUACCGGGGCCCAACCCCGGGGCUGCAUUGGGAACUGCCAGGCUGGAGUGCCGGAGAGGCAGGCGGAAUUCCUAGUGUAGCGGUGAAAUGCGUAGAUAUUAGGAGGAACACCAGUGGCGAAGGCGGCCUGCUGGACGGUGACUGACGCUGAGGCUCGAAAGCGUGGGGAGCAAACAGGAUUAGAUACCCCCGUAC
RNAcentral lists this ribosomal RNA (447 nucleotides) under uncultured bacterium. RNAcentral's name for it is "bacterial SSU rRNA". It matches the Rfam family "Bacterial small subunit ribosomal RNA", at positions 329 to 793 of the family's 1533-position model. The record is from RNAcentral.